RNAcentral lists this ribosomal RNA (253 nucleotides) under uncultured bacterium. Its description in RNAcentral is "partial 16S ribosomal RNA". It matches the Rfam family "Bacterial small subunit ribosomal RNA", at positions 524 to 776 of the family's 1533-position model. The record is from RNAcentral.
UACGUAGGGGGCAAGCGUUGUCCGGAUUUAUUGGGCGUAAAGAGCGUGUAGGCGGCCAUGUAGGUCCGUUGUGAAAACUCGAGGCUCAACCUCGAGACGCCGAUGGAAACCAUGUGGCUAGAGUCCGGAAGAGGAGAGUGGAAUUCCCGGUGUAGCGGUGAAAUGCGCAGAUAUCAGGAAGAACACCCGUGGCGAAGGCGGCUCUCUGGGACGGUACUGACGCUGAGACGCGAAAGCGUGGGGAGCGAACGGG